RNAcentral lists this ribosomal RNA (1001 nucleotides) under groundwater metagenome. RNAcentral's name for it is "bacterial SSU rRNA". It matches the Rfam family "Archaeal small subunit ribosomal RNA", at positions 1 to 1200 of the family's 1478-position model. The record is from RNAcentral.
ACCAGUUGAUCCUGCUGGAGGACACCGCUAUCGGAUUGCGAUUAAGCCAUGCAAGUCUAAAGACUAUACUUAUAGUCUUGGCGAACGGCUGAAUAACACGUAGUCAACCUACCCUAGAGAAGGGGAUAACGACGCGAAAGUGUCGUUAAUACCCUAUAGCUCUCUCAACCUGGAAUACUGGUGAGAGGGUCAAAAGAGCUGCAAAUUGUAGUAGUUUCGCUCUAGGAUGGGACUGCGGCUGAUUAGGCAGUUGGAGGUGUAACGGACCCCCAAACCUAUAAUCAGUAGGGGUCAUGGGAGUGAUGGCCCCCAGAUGGGCACUGAGAUAAGGGCCCAAGCCCUCCGGGGUGCAGCAGGCGCGAAAAUUCCGCAAUGCGCGAAAGCGUGACGGGGGUAGUCCGAGUGAUUUCCGAAAGGAAAUCUUUUGCUAAGCUUGAAUAGCUUGGAGAAUAAGUGGUGGGUAAAUCCUGUGCCAGCCGCCGCGGUAAUACAGGUAGCACGAGUGGUGUCCACGAAUAUUGAGUCUAAAGCGCUCGUAGCCGGUUUGGAAAAUCUCUUGUCAAAUCUCUACGCUCAACGUAGAGGCGCGCAAGAGACACUACCAGACUAGGGAGUGGAGGAGGUUAGGGGUACUGCAGGGGGAACGGUAAAAAAGCCUUUUUCUUUUUACUAAAAAGAAAAAGUCUUUUAGUCCCAAAAGAAAAAGGAACUUUACAAUGUUGUAAUCCUUGCAGGACCACCAGUGGCGAAGGCGCCUAACCAAGACACGUCCGACGGUGAGGGGCGAAGGCUAGGGGAGCAAACCGGAUUAGAUACCCGGGUAGUCCUAGCAGUAAAUUAUGCAGACUUGGCGUUGCACUUGCUUCGAGCGAGUGCAGUGUCGAAGGGAAGCCGUUUAGUCUGCCACUUGGGGAGUACGGUCGCAAGAUUGAAACUUAAAGGAAUUGGCGGGGGAGCUGAAGCGAAAGUCAGUUUCACCGGCAACGAGGUGUCCCAAAAAG